This 412-nucleotide ribosomal RNA is filed under the name Xenocaucus kimbozensis. Its description in RNAcentral is "partial 16S ribosomal RNA". Lineage: Eukaryota; Metazoa; Arthropoda; Insecta; Hemiptera; Reduviidae. The record is from RNAcentral.
ACUAAGGUAGCGUAAUCAWUUGUCUUUUAAUUGAAGGCUAGAAUGAAGGGUUGGAUGAAAUAUGAGCUGUCUUUGGCUUUAUGAAAGAAUUUAAUUUUUUAGUUAAAAAGCUAAAAUUUAAUUAAGGGACGAGAAGACCCUGUAGAUCUUUAUAUGAGCUAUUGAUGUUGAAUAGGGUAGUUAUGAAUUAGUUAUUUAUUUGUAGCUUUAUUUAGUUGGGGUGACUUUAGAAUUUGUUUUUCUUCUAAUAGUUUAUAUUUCAAUUAUUAUUGUAAGUUUGAUCUUGUGUUAUUACUGAUUAUAAGAUUAAGAUACCUUAGGGAUAACAGCGUUAUUUUCUCGGAGAGUUCGUAUCAAUGGGAAAGUUUGCGACCUCGAUGUUGAAUUAAAAUUAGUUUUAGGUGCAAGAGCU